Molecule: long non-coding RNA, 5760 nt
Filed under: Solanum tuberosum (potato)
Lineage: Eukaryota; Viridiplantae; Streptophyta; Magnoliopsida; Solanales; Solanaceae
Description: long non-coding RNA (STUB_LNC009533)
Source: RNAcentral
GGCAUAGCUGGUGUACUCGGUUACAUUUGUAUCAAAUGGUAUCAGAUUGUGCCCUGCAGUUUUUACUGCAUUUUGUAGCUCAGCUUCAUCAGUCUUGUCGGAAUCAAUGCUCAAGAUUACAUUUUCCCGACAUACGAAGUAGAAUUGAGGUGCAUUGUUCUUGUAUCCAGCAACUCGAAGCACAUCACCCACUCUGUAUCUAUAGAGUCCUGAAAUGGCACAAAUCCAAGCAAAAUAAUCAUUAGCAGACAUGUUGAACCGACAAAUUGUAAAAAAGAAACGAGUCGAGCAUUUUGUUUGGCAUUUGAAAGUACCUGAAUAUGUGGUAACAACAAGCUCGUACUCCUGGCCAAUCUGGACAUCAAUCAAAUCAACUAAUUGAUUUUGUUCUUUCUCAUUAAGCAGCUUAGACUUGGAGAUAGAAUUAAUGACUCCAUUGUCUCUGUGAAUUGGUGCGAACUCAAAAUAGCACAUGGUGGGAAUAAGGGUGUAAGAGACUUCACUGGGCUUACAAAAGGGGUUCAAGUUGAUUCCAAAGUAGCAUUCUGAGGAACCAUACAUGGUAGAGACAAGAGGGAGGCCAUUGCUGUAAUAAUCAAGGGUAGGUAUAUACUGUGACAUGCUUCCGGUUACAACAACAGCCACAUACUUUGUGUUUGGCCACAACCUAGCGAUGAUCCCUUGCCAUGAAUCUCUACUGCAUUCAGCCUCGAUGAAAUCAGCUAACUCUGGGUCAGGUUUGAGGAUUUUCAUCACCGACUCUCUCACUGACUGAUCUGUAAUUUGGGUGUUAAGGGUUCCCAUUCGAAUAUCGUUACAAAGUAGAGACCAGUGCUUUUCUAGGAACCGGAUGGCACGGAUGAAGCUGGAUGCAAAGGGUGAGCCAACGCUGAUGACUUCUUUGCAUUGGUAGAGACCACAAAGCAUUUGGGAGUACAUGUUUUGGUAAGAGUCUGGGCAGAGAGUGGUUUCAGCUGGACUAGUGUAGUUUGCAUAGGGGCUAAAACGGUUGUUGUUGAAAUAAGGACUCUUGCACAUACUUGUUAAAACAGGGCGAGCUGUUAAUCCUCCUGGGGUCUUGGCUUCGGACUUUAUGGACCAGAAAUACAUUCCUUUGCCCUUUUCCAAAUCUGGAACAAAUUGGCUUAUCACAGACAUCCCAAGGCCGCGAAGCUGAAAUCUCUUCCCAAUCUCUUCUGGAAUUGUUGGCAUCAAUUUUCUCUCCCCUCCGGACGUCCCAGAACUGCACAUAAAGAUUGUGCUUCAGCUUAAAUUAAAGAUCUUAAUGAGAUACAGAGAAUGUGAAUUGUGUACUUUAUAAUAGUACACUAUUGAGAUGGAGAUGCACAUUUCGAAAGGACAAACCUUGUCAAGAAUUCAGAGAUGGGUUGGGAGCAGAAGAUCGGAGAUUUAUCACCAUUGGCUAUACGGUUAAUAUCAUGCUGAAUAUCUUUGUAGGUGAUGACAGGCAUGACUUUCUUGAACGUCUCUCUAUCAGUGUGACCAUUGAGAUCAUGGCGCUGCAAGUACUCAACAUUGGCAUUUCGAGAGAGGAUUUCAGCAAGAACUCUCUUUUGGACCUCAUCAACGUUGAUCGUUACCUCUUCAAUGAAUUGAAGAGUCUUCUUGUUUUCCUCCACUAUACUUCCCUCAGUGGCCUUCAUCGGGCUCUUUGAUGCCUCAGGUAUGGUUCUUUCCAUAUUAAUAAAGACGUGGCUGAGUAAAAAAAAUUGUUACUAGGUGAACAAAAUGUAUAUAUAGAGGCAUUUUGGGAGAUUAAAUCCCGAUAGAGAUGAGUGUAUUGACUAUAGGUUCAACUGAAUCCAGUAUUUACUCAUAAAUAUAUCAAGUCCGUCCUUUUUGAACUUCGUCUCUGAUAGUACAAAAAUAUGUAUCACUACAUAUACAUUUUCUUUUUGAUAAUUGUGAUCUGGCUCUGGAUCAAAAGUAACCUAAAAAUCUGUGCCCAUAAGUCUCAAAUAUCUUGUUGUCUUUUUGUUUAUUCUCAGGUACAACUGGAUUCUGAAAUGUGAACUAUAAGUUAAUUAAUAUAAAAUUAAUUUAUUUAGCAGAUUCGACUUCGUGAUGCGAUGUGCUCAUACAUCCACGCGUUGUGCUCUUACCAGUAGACUAAUGCCUUAGGCAUUAGAAGUAUGUUAUCAUUUACAGAAAGUUUCUGUUUUUUUCUUCUUUCUGAAAUGCUUUUUGAGCAGAGAAAGAUAGAGGGAUGAACCUAUAUUAUCCACCAAGUUUCUAACCGUACGUCAUUGACCCUCGAAAUUUUUUCGAUUAUCAAAAAGAAAAGAAAUGUACAAAUUAACAAAGAAUAUAAAACAGCAUGGCCAGAUCAUUACUGAAUUGCAGAAAGUUGCAAUAAUAAUAAUAAUAAUAUUUCCCAUCCGUCUGACAUGUUUUUUUAAAAAAAUAUACAUGUUAAGUUAUGACAAAAGAUAUGGUCAGACAAUCAUUUACAUGUGUUUCAUGUCAUCAUGUGUUUAACUUUAUUUUUCCCCUUCAAAUUUCAUGUGGAACUUUUUUUUUUUUUCUAAACCUGGUGAUCGGUACCAAUAUUGGGGUACCUAUAUUGGAGCUUGACAAAAACCAGAUUCGCGAUUUGCAGGCCCAAUUUUUUGGGGUGGCGCUCCCAACAAUUCCCUUCUAGGGAUCAAACCCGAGACUUCUGAUUUAACUUAAACUUCACAUUUCACCUUAACGACAAAUAUUUAUUAGACACACAAAUUUUAUCGCAUGUUUCAGAUAAAAUAUUAUUUUGUUAAUGGUAGCUAGUGUGGUGUAUUAGUUGAGUGGGUUAACUGCUCUACAAGUUGUUAGUAUUAGAUUAGUGAUGAUUAGUUAAAUGGUUAGUACAGCUAUUGAAAUCUCAGCUGUUAAGUUUUCUUCCUUGUAUGUACCAUUGCAAAGUCUGUUCAAUUCAAAGAGAAAAAAAGGUUGGUAAAUCUCUAUACUUAUUUCUUGGUUAAAGAACAUAUUUAUAUAUUAUGCUUUUCUUAAACUCUGUGUUCAAUCAAAUUAAGACACUUUUGUGAAACUUGACAAAAGAGAUUGCUCGAAUUGUAAGCACCGUCUUAAAAUUGGUGGACUCUAAUUGGAUUUAAGUAGUAGGCCCAAGUUAGAUAGAAACGGGACCCAAAAAUACAAAUUAAUUUCAUAUUUCUUCUGUAUUUGCUGGCGAAAUACGUGAUCUUGCUUUUCUCCUUUUCCGGCGAACUAAUGUCUGUUCAUUUUUCCGGCGAAAUUAAGUUUGUAAGUUCCUUUUCACGAGUUAUGGAUUUUGUUUCAACUCUUUUUGCUAACUUUUCUGCAUAAAGAAACCAUUAAAUUCAAUUUUUACGAUUAAUUUAAUGAUUUUAUCAAGUUAAAAUGCAUCAUUAUCUGUUUAUCAUGUUAACAAAUUUUCUGACAAUUUUUUUUAUCGGAACAAUUAAGACCAUAAAAGAUGGAACUUUCAUGAUUUCAUUGAUCAUUGAAGUUGAAAGUUUGGCAAGGCUAGAAUCUUUGAACCGUAGUUUCUUGUCCUUAGAUUUCUUUUACUAUAUGUUGAUUCCUUGUAGCUCGAUAAUCGUAUUAUUUAUUACUAUGUGCUGUUUUUGUAUUAUGUGUUGCCUCUUAGGUAGGGUAAGGUCUGCGUACACUCUACCGUCUCUAGCCUCACUUUGUGGGAUUACACUAGGUAUGUUGUUGUUGCUAGUAGCUUUUAACUGCACCAAGUAGAAAAUUAAAGUUUGGGUACUGAAAAUCGAUCGGUUUUGGUGAUCAAUAAAGUGGGUUUAGAACUAUGAGGUCUUAGGAUUCAUAGAGUUAUUCGAUAUGUUUGAGGUGCGGACAAGUUGGUACGGACUCCACGGUUAUUAAUUAAAAAACAUUUAUUGCAUAUUUUUCUUGUUUCAACCUCCAUCAAGAAGGUGUUUGUGACAUUGUUGCAUAUAUUGGUGGGAGUGCAAUGCAUGAAAUCCUUAGUGUGGAGAAGGAUUUUUGUCUUUUUCCGAGUUUGUUUCUACAAUCUAAACUUGGUGGCAUGAAAAGAAUGCUACUUUUAUUUUCCUUUUGUUUCCUAAAAAUAUCAGAUUCAAAACAUUCUUGACAACUAUGAUUUUGACUUGCUGAUAUUAGUACAUCAUUUUCGUGGCAAUUUUGAGAAGGCUAGAGCUUAACUGAAUCUUAAUUCUUGAUGUACUGCUGAUAUUUCCUGUGUUUUAGGAUCUGAGAGAUGCGCAGAACCUUGUCAUAUCUGAAGGGUUUAAUCAUCUAAUCCUUUCGAAUCAAGCACUUGCAAUUGCAUCGUAAGUUUUCCGAAAAUGGCAUCUGACUACAAAGGUUUGUGUUCACCUUCCAUCUUGUUCUUCUUUCAAUUGUUAUGGAUGAUAUGAUGACAUUUUUUCCUCUUGCAUGUAAUAUCUUACCUCACAGGAAAAGCUGUUGUUUUUAUGGGUGUAAGCGGAGCUGGAAAAUCGUAAGGUUUCAAGUUACUUACUAAUUUGGUUUAACCAAAAGAAUUGUAUAGGUCAUUGAUCAGUUUCUAACUGCUUGUAUAGUCAAACUAGAUCUUAACAAAGAAUUUCAAGAUUGUAGAAGCAAAGAUAUUGUUGGAAUGUAUGCGUCCACCUAUGUAGAUGGGACUAGGUCCUCAACACAGUUAUAGUGAUAAACAAUAAAGAACAAAUGCUGAAAGUAAAGAUUGACAAUCAAUUUUACGUGGAAACUUCCUUGCUCAAGGGAGUAAAACCACGACCUGUUCUCAACAGGACUUUUCAAAUUGCUUCCACUAAUCUUCUUCAAGCAAAAGUAAAAGCCAGUUUACAAAAUGAGAUUAACCUGCUAAUCUCCACACUAAGCAAUACCUCCUAUCACUUAGCUGAGCCAGAGCAGAUACAACACUGCCCACUAUACUAAUCCUAACCGAUUAAUAUAGCCUUUUAGAGUAAGAAACUAAGUUACCCUUAACCUAGUUCUUGCAAUGAUUCACACAAGUUUGAAACAUUUCUUUCACAGAUGAAACGAAUCCUACAAUAUAAGAACUAUUAUAAGCAAAAAAAAACUACAGCUAGUACAGAAAGCAAUAGAAACACUUCUAUCAGGUCCCUUGCUAUUUUUGAAGCUUGAAAAUAUCUCUCUUUGAAUGAAUGAUAAAUAAUGUUGUUUGUUGUUUGAUAUAAACCAUGAAGAAUUAUUAUCCAAUGUACAAACAAUCUCGUCGCUUCUGAUUGGUGAAGUACUCUGCAGCUUCACCAACUUUCUGACGCGGACAGCUUUACAGUUGUUCAACACUUUGACACUGGACGAGUAUUCAUACUCUGCAGAGGCCCAAUGGAUUUGUCAGAGGCACGCCCCUGGCGGUAGACGCUAUUUAGAGAUUCUUCAAUGGUGAGGCAACAAUCUUCAAAGACAGAAGGAGGAAUUUGGGUAGAGCCAUUCACAUUGAGCUCCCAGAAUAGGACAUAGUGGUCUGGAAUGGUGGCGGUAUCGGCAUAGCUGGUGUACUCGGCUACAUUUGCAUCAAAUGGCAUCAGAUUGUGCACUGCAUAUUUUACUGCAUUUUGUAGCUCAGCUUCAUCAGUCUUGUCGGAAUCAAUGCUCAAGAUUACAUUUUCCCGACAUACAAAGUAGAAUUGAGGUGCAUUGUUCUUGUAUCCAGCAACUCGAAGCACAUCACCCACCCUGUAUCUAUAGAGUCCUGAAAUGGCAUAAGUCCAAGCAAAAUAAUCAUUAGCAGACAUGUUGGACAGACAAAUUGUAAAAAAG